RNAcentral lists this ribosomal RNA (425 nucleotides) under uncultured bacterium. RNAcentral's name for it is "partial 16S ribosomal RNA". It matches the Rfam family "Bacterial small subunit ribosomal RNA", at positions 354 to 796 of the family's 1533-position model. The record is from RNAcentral.
GUUAGGAAUAUUGGACAAUGGGCGAAAGCCUGAUCCAGCCAUGCCGCGUGAACGAUGAUGGCCUUCGGGUUGUAAAGUUCUUUAGCCGAUGAUUAUAAUGACUGUAGUCGGAAAAUAAGCCCCGGCUAACUUCGUGCCAGCAGCCGCGGUAAUACGAAGGGGGCGAGCGUUAUUCGGAAUCACUGGGCGUAAAGCGUGCGUAGGCGGUUUUGUAAGUUAGGAGUGAAAGCCCAGGGCUCAACCUUGGAAUUGCUCUUAAAACUGCAAGGCUCGAAUCUCGGAGAGGAUAGCGGAAUUUCCAGUGUAGCAGUGAAAUGCGUAGAUAUUGGAAGGAACACCAGUGGCGUAAGCGGCUAUCUGGACGAGUAUUGACGCUGAGGCACGAAAGCGUGGGGAUCAAACAGGAUUAGAAACCCCGGUAGUCC